RNAcentral lists this ribosomal RNA (140 nucleotides) under uncultured bacterium. RNAcentral's name for it is "partial 16S ribosomal RNA". The record is from RNAcentral.
GACGUAGUUAGCCGGCGCUUCUUCUGCAGGUACCGUCACUUUCGCUUCUUCCCUACAGAAAGAGGUUUACAACCCGAAGGCCGUCAUCCCUCACGCGGCGUCGCUGCAUCAGGCUUGCGCCCAUUGUGCAAUAUUCCCCA